RNAcentral lists this ribosomal RNA (531 nucleotides) under uncultured bacterium. RNAcentral's name for it is "bacterial SSU rRNA". It matches the Rfam family "Bacterial small subunit ribosomal RNA", at positions 777 to 1304 of the family's 1533-position model. The record is from RNAcentral.
AAUAGAUACCCGGGUAGUCCACGCCGUAAACGAUCGAGUGCUAAGUGUUAGAGGGUUUCCGCCCUUUAGUGCGUGCAGCUAACGCAUUAAGCACUCCGCCUGGGGAGUACGGCCGCAAGGCUGAAACUCAAAGGAAUUGACGGGGGCCCGCACAAGCGGUGGAGCAUGUGGUUUAAUUCGAAGCAACGCGAAGAACCUUACCAGGUCUUGACAUCCUCUGCCAACCCUAGAGAUAGGGCGUUCCCCUUCGGGGGACAGAGUGACAGGUGGUGCAUGGUUGUCGUCAGCUCGUGUCGUGAGAUGUUGGGUUAAGUCCCGCAACGAGCGCAACCCUUGAUCUUAGUUGCCAGCAUUCAGUUGGGCACUCUAAGGUGACUGCCGGUGACAAACCGGAGGAAGGUGGGGAUGACGUCAAAUCAUCAUGCCCCUUAUGACCUGGGCUACACACGUGCUACAAUGGAUGGUACAAAGAGCUGCGAACCCGCGAGGGUAAGCGAAUCUCAUAAAGCCAUUCUCAGUUCGGAUUGUAGG